AUCCAUAGCCAAAGAAUCGUCACUGAUCGAAGCUUACAAAAUUGGAGUUCUCAUUUCAUUCAUUGAAUGAAAUGAACUGAACUCAUCACUAUGCUUUGGGUUGAAAGUCUCCCACCAGGUCAUAUGCGGAAAACGUAAUAAGAUUUAAAAAUUUUAAAAUCUUUAAAUCAACUUAUUAAAGUUUGAAAAAGCUAUCAUCAGAUUGUUUUUUCUUACUUUCCCGACUUGAAUCUUCUUUGAAUGAUUCAAUGUUUUCUUCGGUAUCGAGAUCCCCUUUUCAAUGGAUCUCAAACCAUAGUCAUGACGAUUGCUGUACAAAAUUACAUUUGUUUGUCAUUUGUAUGGUAACCCAAUGGAGCUUACUAUUCUUGGCUCAUGGA
Naumovozyma dairenensis CBS 421 is the source of this 380-nucleotide non-coding RNA. The record is from Rfam. Lineage: Eukaryota; Fungi; Ascomycota; Saccharomycetes; Saccharomycetales; Saccharomycetaceae.